Alosa sapidissima (American shad) is the source of this 6505-nucleotide long non-coding RNA. RefSeq lists it as uncharacterized. Lineage: Eukaryota; Metazoa; Chordata; Actinopteri; Clupeiformes; Clupeidae. The record is from RefSeq and is a predicted model, not a curated record. The transcript has 3 exons.
UGCCUGUUGCUUUCAGGUGCCGAUUUUCGAUGUUCCGUAUCCAUGCACGGGUAGCUAGUCAUUCACUUCGCCACAACUUUAACAUUUGAUGCAGUCACAGACCAGUAGCUUAGUCUACCUUACGUUCGCUUCAACUGAGUUGGACGCAUCUCACCAAAGUCUCGGGGGUUUCCAUUAAUGUAGCAUAGUAAACGUCGGAGAGUAAGGUAGGCCAAAUUGUGCCACUGUUCGGGUUGUCCGCCCGGUCUUAUCAACGGAAAGAGACAAGUUCCGCGGCUCGGAGGUUCUCUUUCACCCUAGUCUCGUGUUAGAUCCUAGUGCUUAAUGAGGUUAACGUCGUAUCGCUAACAACGCAAAUAUGGUUGCUAAACUUUUCUGACGAAAACCGUCAGACUUAUCAGGCUACGCUGUUAACAUGCAUGUACGGAACCUUUUAAAAAACUCAGUUAGGCUACUCCAGUUAUCGACACUCGCGAUGGUUUCCUUGCCAAAGUUGCUAUGAUACAGCUUUGCUAGGUCCACAUCCUAGGCAAAUUGUCUCGCUGGUCAGGCUGUUGUGUAUGGAAGGCCAACAGGGACAAAAGUACUCUUCCUUCUUGGCUGCAGUAGUCGCAGAGAUGCUGUUGGUAUUGUCUGCAGGGCGGUAGGCUACUAAUGUCAUUAACUCAUAAUAGUUCCGAUGCACCUGAAGGCCAUAUCUUAUUUUCAUUAUCUCAUGUCUGGCUGAUCAUUAUUGUCUGUCAUCGUCUGUUACUGUCAUUGGUUAUGUGUCUACAUAAUAUGUAGGCCCAUACAUUCAUUGAUUUAACUAAUGGCAACGUAAUGUAUCAUGGCUGUUUAUUUGCCUGCAUGCUAGGUCCUUUUGAAAACGCUAUGUCUCCUCUCUAACCACUCCAUUCCUCCUUGCAGGUCUUCAGGCUGUAGGGACUAGAACAAGAUCUUUCCUCUAACUCUUCUUUGCCAAAAGAGCAACACCUCUAGCAGGCACAAACUCUCCUUCAGGCCAAUACUGCACUCACCCUUAUACUUUUUCCAAGCACAAUGCACUUUGCUUGUCGUCAUUCGUAAUCUUCCAUUACGUCACGGCAGCCGCAAGCACAGGGAUGGCAUUCCUUCCCAUUUCUUCAUUACUUAACAUCUUAAUAAUCUUUCAAUUUCAGGAGCAGCUCCUCUUCGUUUAAUGUAAAUGCCUCUCUCUUUAAUUUAAGGGUAUGCAUCUGUCGGCAGGGGAGUACUGACCCUCACCGUAACUAUCUACUUCAUGCAGGGAUGCGGGGCUGGUUCACGUAGGCCUAUAGCCAAAACGUUCAUCGAGGGACAGUGCUUUGGUUCAUAUUUAGUCUUACUUCAUCCAGGUCAUGUGAUGUCAACUUAUUUACCUCCUCAUCUAAGCUAUGCGCUAACCCUGUAGCCUACUCUUCAUGUCUUUAUCCCACCACAGUAGGAGCAGCAGCAUUAGUGAACUUACAUUGUUUAAUCAUUAGAUUUUGUAAUUCACUAUCGAAUAUCCAUAUGUCCUCGAAUCUCAAUCACAUAAUUCUCAAUCGUCAUAUAAUAAAAUCAAUCAGCAUUUAUUAGUCUACAUCACCAAUUCACUCUAACUAUUUAAUUUACAAGGUCUGUGAUGCUGGUUCACAUAUUCUAAACACCCACUUACUCUUGGCUCUGGAGCAAUGCUUUGUUACUCAUUUAAUCUUAUUUCACCCAGUCAGCAUGAUGAGGAUUACUCUUCCAUCUCUUGUCUUUAUUUUAGUUAUAUGCUAAACCAUCCUCAGCGACCAUCCAUAAGUGCUAGUGUACUCCAGCUAUGUAUCUGUUGAUUGUAUUUUGUCUUGUCCUGUUGUGUCCUUAGGUCUGCCGCUGGUUAGUUAACCCUGGCUCUCUUUUCACUCCCUAUCAAUUCACUCCUUGAAUGUGUUCCUCAUGGCUUUCUAUGGGUUCAUGCGCUCUGGGGAAUUUUGUUCUGACAGCCAGGUUUUUAACCCUUCUCAGGAUCUGGCUUGCUCAGCCAUCCUCUUCUCCUCCCGCUUCUAUAGUGUAAUUCUGAAACAUUCUAAAAUGGACACCUCAGGUCUUUGUCAUUAUCAGAGAUUCUAAAGUAAAUAACUCUUCUGUCCCUAUACUUCUAUGAUCAACUAUCUUAAACUUCACCCACACACUUCUCCUAAUGCACCUCUCUUUCUUCUACCGACUGGGUUAUCUAUGUCUAAACAAUGGUUCAGAAUCCACUUGUCGACAGCGGUUGGUAGCUGCGGGCUCUCAACCUCCCAAUAUACCGGCCAUUCCUUUCGCAUCGGCGCUGCAACGUCAGCAGCCGCUCUAGGAUUACCUGCAUCCUCAAUCAAGUUGCUCGGAAGAUGGUCUUCGUCGGCUUACGAGUCCUAUAUAAGACCUCAGGAUCAAGCCCUUCUAGAUGCGCAAAUAGCUCUCGCAAGCGUCAAAUAAGGUAAGCUACCUUUCAAAGGUCUGGUGGUGGUUAUUCGGCUCAGCUAAAGCAUUAUUUUAAUUACGAUGGACCCGAGCCACUCUUCUCCAGUCACUACGCACAGCCGGCACUUUAGGCACAGAAUAAAGUGUUAAUACAUUCUAGUCACUACGCACCGCCGCCCUUGGUCUAGCUUCUGCAAGCAAAACCUCGGGUAAUCUCACGUCACAACAGUUAAUUUCUUUUAUCCUAGCAUCACCCCACUUCACUCAUCAUAUACAUACGCAACUCGACUCGGCAGUCGACUCGAAUCGCAAUCAUCAAAUCGCAAUCAUCAAUCGUUAUCGAACCGAACGAUCAUUAAGCACUUUCCACGGGGAUUUGCACCACAUUGCAUUACAUUCUUGCCGUGCAAGAACCGAGCUUACGAAAGCUCUGAGCUUGUGCAAGCUCCUCGACUUCGCUGCAAUCGCUGCAGACCAUGCUGGUAAUUUUCUUCUUUUCACCAGAGAGUGCUCAAGCUUUCUAUCUGUUUCUCUAUACCUUUUCUCUCUGAACUUAUUACCUAUGGACAAUGUCUAUCAUGUUUUCCUGUCUCGUUUAGCUAACGUUACCUAUGCUGCUCAUCUUAUUUUGGGGGGCCUUUCCAAGAGCAAGGUGCAAAAGCAUGGCUCACUCUUUUCAUCUUGCCCUUGGAUCUGCUUUAGCUCCAUUCCGUUGCAGGAUGCGGCUUGCUCACGGAAACAAGUCAUCACAUUUAGGGGUCGUACUUAAAUCGGAUAUAAUCUGUCAUGGACACUACACCGUGCUGUUAUUUGGGUAAGUCAACAUAAUUAAUUCAUUAAUCUAAACCUUGCCGUUUACAUUUCUAUCCUAAUAGUAGGCCUAUACGUUGUGCUAUUUAGCUUUCUUUAACAUGGCUUUACCUCUGCCGGAUGGACAGUAGUCUGUUAAUUUCAUCUGCUGUACAUCUUGUCCUCGCAGCUUCUGUUCACCAUUGAACCGUAACAAAUGGAGUUCACAAACUGUAAUAUUUUGCAUCAACUUGCUUAUCAAUUAAGAGCUAGCUACUCCAUUUGCUUGUCACAAGGCUCACAAGGAUCUAUUGACUGUGUGGUUACUGAGUUCUUGAUUACUAAAGACUCACUCAGCAGUAAUGAGCAUUUCGUAUUCAAUAUACUUCCUCUUGCAAAUGUCUGGUGGUGGUUAUCUAAAUUUAAUCAUAUUACUCAUCUCUUCGUUUCUGGUGCCCGUACUGGCUUGGUCGCGUUUGUGCAGGUCAUAAUCUUUAACUGCAAGCGCUAUUUCUUCUGCACUAACCUGAGCUUCUGCCACUGCAAGCUCAUUGUCCCCCGAGCAUUUGCAACUGCAAGCUCUAUCCCGCUGCACUAACCCUGAGCAUCUGCAACUGCGAGCUCUAUUCUGCUGCACUGACCCUGAGCAUCUGCAACUGCAGGCUCUAUCCCCUGCACUGACCCUGAGCGUUUGUAAUUGCAAGCUCAUCGUCCUGCACGUUGUUAGUUAACCCUUAAGCUAAGCUUCUGCAAGCACUAGUCACUCAAGCAGUCUUGUUCAAAGGGUUGAACAUCUGCAAUCUCAAUUCCCUUCCAUAACUUUAAAUCAAUCAUAGAAUUUGAGUCACAGGUGGUCGAAUCCAUCAUCCUCAUCAAAUCAUCAGUUUAUUUUAUUAAUAGUAUAUUCUUCAUGUGUCUCUGUCUGUCUCGCUUUCUCUGAUUCAUCUCCCGAGCUCAACCGGAUAAUACAACAUGCACUUUUUAAUAUUGUUAUGCUCUAUUUCAGAGAGGAUGACCAUCUAAGCAUUCUGGUGGGUAUCUUUAUUUCUUAUUCUUUGGGGGUAGGCUCCGCCCCUGCCGUCUCAUACCGGCAGGAUCUGAAAGGGUCGGCACACUCGGUGACCUGGACCGAGGACGGGGCCUAUGCCAAAGACUGUCUUAUUGUUGCUUAUGCCUUUUGUACAUCCUUUGAUGGAUUAAAACAUGUGUUAACUUUCAUUGUACCUCCCUGAGUCUUUCUGAUAGAAAUACUUAUACUUAUACUUAUAUUUGUGUAGGCACCGUUAGGCUACUGCAGCAUCUCAUGGUCUACACACCUACUGCCACAUCUCUUCUCUUAUGAGCAGAAGAGUUUUAGAGCCUAUUUGAAAAUUCUGUUUCAUAUGAGUGUAUUUCAUGGAAUUUAUUAUAACUUUGUCAGUGCAACUAUUUAUUCUCCUGACUACCAGCAGUCCAUUACCCAUUAAAAUGUAUUUUUUUAUUUAUCUAUUGAGGUUGUGGUAGUUGACAAUGUCAUGAUGCAUCUCAAAGGUACUGUAUUGUCUGAAUUGUUUAUCUAAAUGUAGAAUGUAGUUUCCUACACUGAGAUUCUGUUACAGGUUGAGACCACUGUGAAAAGAUUUAAAGGUAUCUAUUGCAUUUUUGGACAUUUUUGGCGACUCUAUAGCUCCCCCUAGAGUCUCAAAAUGUUAAUACUUUAAUACCUUUCACGUCUCACAGCUUGAGCCCUUUCCUCUGGACACAGUAUAUGUCUGUCCAUUUGUUUUGGAGCUGAUGGAAUAGAAAAGGCAAAUACAAUCUCCAGAGAACUAUAACUCCUGACCAGUUAUCAGCACGGAGAGGCAGAGGAUGACGAUGACGAGUGUUCCCCUUAUGCAGUGAGCCAGAGAGAGCAGGAACCCAUGUACUCCCUUGUUCAGCUGACUGAGCAGAAAACUGACUGUUCCACCAGCGGGGAUGGAGAACUUGCCUCAAAGGCGUCAGGACACAAGGCCAUCAUGAAGAACAACUCCAUUUAUGAAACCGCGGGUCCAUAGCUUCAAACUGCUGCCAGUGCACUGUGUCAGUGCUCAGUCAGGGCAUGAUGAGGAGACUACUGGAGUUCAAUCAUAAGGCCUACUGGGACUUUUGUGCUGGAUGUGGUCUAAUUUAUUUUAUUUUAUUGUUUUACAAGUAUGUUGUCUAAUUGUUUUUCAGUUAAUUUUAUGUAUGGCUGUAAGUGGGCGUUUUCUCACCUUUCAUUUCAUUGCAUCAGUUUAGGCUUUUGUUAGAUCAUGUGGUUAUCAGUCAUCUGCGUCCUAGUUGCAGUGGUGUUUUAUUUGUUACUUGCUGAUGACGUGAGAUAUAUUGAAAUUUACUCCAGUUAUUGUAGGAAAGUGUCUGACUAACUAUAGUUUUGCAACUAUUAGUGUAAAAGAAAACACAUACAGUACAGUAUAUGUGGUUUGGGGUGAGAUGCAUAAAAACAGCUUCUUUUCAGUUCAAAUGCGGAAGGAGCUCUUGCCCUCUGAGCUUCCUGUUAAAUUUCCCAUGAAAGUUUCUCACACUAGUCUUUCAAAUUCAUUGAAUAUUGGCUAGAAAGGAGAGACAAAGUGGGCGGCUGUUGCACAUCAUUUCUCUUCAAUUAUCUUAUGUUGUUCUGUUGGUGUGAAAUUUAGCCUAUGCUAUAUAAAGAUAUUUAAAGGAAAAAUAUGAACUAAUACCAAUUUUAUAAUGUUUGUGAAGCCAUGUUUACUCUAAAUUAAAUUAGAAUAUCCUUGAUUGCACACUGAAAGAGAUGACCAACAUGCUCCCUCAAAAGCCAAACACAAAUUCAAAAGCACAAUUGUCCUAUUCUGACAUUAUUCCUACUAUUAUUCUGACGCUAUUCUGGAAGCGUAUGUUUUGGAAACCUUUUUGGUGCUAAUUACGCUACAAGUUUUACAGGCACUGGGCCUCGAGACGCAAAGGUGUGAAUGAAGCUCCCUGAGUUGCAGUGACAUUUUUUGACACUGUGCCACUGCUCGGCCUACUCUGGCCACAAGAUGGCAGUGCAAUACAAGAUGACAGUGCAAUAUAUCUCACCACUGUAGACUUUCUGUAAUAUGUCUACUGGAGAAAUUUAAGUUAAACUAUUUAAAAGAAAAGAGGGGCUACUUCAAUACAUUUUGACAGUAAAAUCUGCAUGAGUUAACAGCAGCUGCCACUAAGUUUGUCCUACCUUGGGUUCCUUAUACAUCUUACUGCUCAAGUGAGUAGCUUUCCAUGUAUUUACUUCAUGUAGCCUAAUUUUGAAUCACAGCGCACC